Molecule: ribosomal RNA, 404 nt
Filed under: uncultured bacterium
Lineage: Bacteria
Description: bacterial SSU rRNA
Rfam family: Bacterial small subunit ribosomal RNA
Source: RNAcentral
UGGGGGAUAUUGCACAAUGGAGGAAACUCUGAUGCAGCAACGCCGCGUGAGGGAAGAAGGUCUUCGGAUUGUAAACCUUAGUAGUCAGGGACGAAUAAAUGACGGUACCUGAAGAGUAAGCUCCGGCUAACUACGUGCCAGCAGCCGCGGUAAUACGUAGGGAGCGAGCGUUGUCCGGAUUUACUGGGUGUAAAGGGUGCGUAGGCGGGACUGCAAGUCAGACGUGAAAUACCGAGGCUUAACCUCGGGGCUGCGUUUGAAACUGUGGUUCUUGAGUGAAGUAGAGGCAGGCGGAAUUCCUAGUGUAGCGGUGAAAUGCGUAGAUAUUAGGAGGAACACCAGUGGCGAAGGCGGCCUGCUGGGCUUUAACUGACGCUGAUGCACGAAAGCAUGGGGAGCAAACA